RNAcentral lists this ribosomal RNA (153 nucleotides) under Salix viminalis (osier). It matches the Rfam family "5.8S ribosomal RNA". Rfam says of the family: 5.8S ribosomal RNA (5.8S rRNA) is a component of the large subunit of the eukaryotic ribosome. The record is from RNAcentral. Lineage: Eukaryota; Viridiplantae; Streptophyta; Magnoliopsida; Malpighiales; Salicaceae.
GACUCUCGGCAACGGAUAUCUCGGCUCUCGCAUCGAUGAAGACGAGCGAAAUGCGAUACUGGUGUGAAUUGCAGAAUCCCGUGAACCAUCGAGUCUUUGAACGCAAGUUGCGCCCGAGGCCUCCUGGUCGAGGGCACGUCUGCCUGGGUGUCA